This 5946-nucleotide long non-coding RNA is filed under the name Homo sapiens (human). RNAcentral's name for it is "HSALNT0165559". The record is from RNAcentral. Lineage: Eukaryota; Metazoa; Chordata; Mammalia; Primates; Hominidae.
UGUAAUUUCAGGAUUUACGACUACCCGUCUUCUCUCAGACUCUGCUCCUGGGAUGUAACAUUCAUUGCUUGCUAUGUCUAUACCUCACUACAUGCAAUGCACCUUUAGAAGACUGUCUCCUUACUCCAUAAUGGAAUUUGUCUCUGACCUAUUGCAGCUAUGAGAUAAGCAUUACCUGCCCCAGAGGCUACCUGCCACUCAGUGAAGAUCAUAUGCCUAAGUCAUGACAUCAACAUCAAACUCUCUUCAAAUCUGGGAGAAAGGCUCAGCUCUUACAACCAGGACAAGAAGAAAUGACACCAGUAGAGAGAUCAUUUGGUGAGCAGCAGGGUUGAAAGAGCCUCAAACCAUGGAGAGAGAGCCUGGAUCUCGAGUAGAAAGGCUUCUGGCACUGAAGAAGUCAAACAGGAUCCCUGAGAGGGAAAAAGCCAGGAGCUUGGGGAAUUAUCUUCACCAAGGUCUGUCUAGAGAUGUGGUUGGCAGAUUUAUGACCCCCAAAGAUGUCUACAUCCUAAACCCAGGAAUCUGUUGCUAAGACUGAGUAAAACAAGAAAAGCAAUGGGGAACCUCACUCACAUCCAUGCUUCCUUGUCUCAUCUGUAUGUAUGAUUUUUGCACAACUUAUUUGAUACUUUGGACAUAAAGCAAGGUCUAGAAGUUUGGCUCAGAGUACCUACAUGGGACCUAUCCAUCACAGCAGCCUAAGUGUAGUUAGCUUUAUUCCACAGUAACGGGAUUCCAAGGAAUUUUCAAAACAAUCCUAGCACCUAUGGGGCAUCGUGGUCAUCCAAGCCCUAAGAAGGCUGCUGUCCAUCCAGUCAAGGCUAUCGGAGGGUGUCUGAGGUGUCCUCUCCCUCCUUAUCUGCACCCCUUCCCCUUCCUGCCUUCUCAGCCAGCAGCAGCAUUGCUUCAUUGAGGAAACCUGCACAACACACAAGCAACUAAGAGGCUUCUGGAUUUCAAAAGCCUGAGUUUUGAAGAUCUCAGCCUCCAGCAUUUAUGUCAUAAACAAAAUAUUUGGACCAUUGAUGGAGAGACUUUUACCCUCAGGCUAGAUUAAGAUUCACUAAUCAAGAGAAAGAAAAGAAGCAAAUCGGACCUGAAGAAGGUAGCUGAACCUUGAAGAGGGGAAUAACAGAAACUCAAGGUCAGGUGGAAAAAUCCAAGAGUACUUUACUGAGUUGUGAUGAGGAGACUCAUAGAAGCUUCACAUUUCUCUGACUGGGGCCAACAGGUCCUCCUCCCACACUCUGGACAGCCAGAUUCCUAUUUGGCAUUAAUCUGUGUGUUCCACAGUCCGCUUCUACAGCCUCAGGAAACCUCCCGUCAACACUGGGACCUCGGUAUGGGGCAAAUUUCAGGAGGAAAAGAAUAAAAGGAAUAAAAGUUAAGUCCUCCAGUAUUUUUUGGCAGAAAGGCAGGCAGUUUUCCUGUCAGAUACCAUGGAGAGUGAAUACUUUGAAUAUUUUCCUUUGGAUAUUGUGAGCAAUUUUCAACAGCAAUUAUUUAAAAUAUUUAUGAAAAAAACUGGAUAAGUCUGUCAUCUGAAAAACAUGUAGGUAGGUAUCAAAAUGUCUGUUUCUGGAGAUUGAGUCUCAUACCAGAAAAAUCCCCCAAAACAAUUGGAUGGCCUGCAUCAAAGCUAUUUAAAAAAUCCAGAUAGAAAGUGCUCCAGGAAUAUCUAAGUAAGGAGAAUAGGAGAAGAGCCAAGAGAGGAGGAGAAAGGGAAAAUGAGGAAGAAGUAGAAGGAGAAAGAAAGAGAAAGACCUAGAGAGACAGGGAGACGUAGUUGGCCACACACAGCAAGAGACCAGUGAUGACAGUGAGGCAGACAUUGGGGCCAUGGGGAGUUGUGUGAGCUACAGAAUGCCUGGCUCUGCUCUGAACAAGACCUGGAGGUCUUUACGUUUCUAACUGCCCGGGAGGGUGAAUGUCAACAGACUUUUGCAGAAGAACAAUGAGCUGAGAGUGAGUCUGAAUCAUUUGCCUUCCAUGUGUCAUCCAAUCACAGCUGCUAACACCUGCAGUGGCUCUGCAACCAUGAGCUGGGAAUAAUACAAAGUCAUGUUCUCACCAUACUUGCCCAGAGGACCUGGGCCUGGAUGGAAGAGCUUCAUUGUAGGAGAAGGUUAUUGACAGAUGAGAAGUAUUUAUCCAAUAUGUCUUUGUUCUAUGACUCUUAUCAGCCCAGCUAGAGGGAAGCCUUGAACAACCAGUCUCCUGUUCCUGGGCUCAUAUCUUUUUCUAAGCAAUAUGGCCUUCCCAGUGACAGCAUCAUCAUCCUUCUUCAUCACCACCACUAUCAUCAUCCUCAUCACCAUCAUUAUCCCCAUCAUCAGAGCAGCUACUCGUUAUUGAGCAUUUACUAUGUGCUGGAUAUAUACAUAUAUAUAUAUAUAAUCUGGAAAAUAACUGUGUGAGGGAGGCCCUAUAUACAUCCCAGUUUUGCAGUUUUGCAUAACGCAGGCUCAAAAAGUUAAGUAACUUUCCCAAGAACAAACAGCUGCUAUAUCAGAAGCAAGGCUCAUAUCCAUAGCUUUUCUAGUCCAAAGACUCUAGAACAAGCUAAAUAAAAUGAACAAAUGGGGUCUUCUAUAUCAGUUUGUCCAUGACUCUCCACCACUGCUGCACCCCACCUAUUUCAGAUCCAGGGACAUUGCCAAGUGACAAUGGGGGCUCCUUCCCUAAGAGAUUGAUUGGCUUAUAGAAAAGUUUGAAUGAAUCCAAUUCUAUUGUAUAUGAAUGUUCUUCACAUUAGGAGUCCAUGUACUUUCUCAUCCCCUAAUUUACCUGUACCCUCAUCCAUUUGGCAAAUAGUUAUGGAGUGUCUAUUUUGUGUCUGACACUAUUUUAGGUGUUAAGAAUAGGGUGUGAACAAAACAUACCAAGCUUAUACUUUAGAGAAGGGAGAUCAAUAUGUAAUAUGAAAACAGAAAUAAUUCUAUGAAGAACAAAAAAUGUAAGAGUAUAGAAAGCAAUGGGAGGUGGUGAGGGUGAGCGACAGCUCUCUGAUGAACAGAAGCCUGAACACAGUGAGGGCUGAGCUAUGAGUGUAUGUGAGAGAGGUUCAGUGCUGGCUUAAAGAAGAGCAAGUGCAAAGCCCCCAGCCUAACAAGAGCAUCCCUGGUGUGCUGCAGGAACAGUGAGGGCACCAAUAUUGCUGGUGAAAAGAUGAAGUCAAAGCAGGCACCAGAUAAUUUAAGACUUUGGAGGGUCUGAUGCGGAUUUGGAAUUUUAGUUUGCCAUAUCAAGUUAUUGGAUAAGAGAGCCAUGUUUAGAUUUACAUAUGACAACAAUCUCCCUGGCUCCAGCAAGAAUGCUGUGUAAAGGACUCACUCUGGAGACUAAACUGUAUGUGAAAUUUAGGACUCCUCUGGCCACGACUGGGUAACAAGCCAUGGAGACUUGGAGUAGAUGGUGGUAGAGGAUAGGGGAGCAGUUGUCAAACUCUGGAAAUCCUCUGAUCAGUUGGAUGUGCAGAGUGAGAGAAAAGAGAAAAAUGAAGGAUUACUUCCAGUGAGGCAUGAGACAGCCAUAGAGUGCAAUAUCCCAGAAACCAGGGGAAGAUAGGCAUCAAGGAAGGAGGCACUGAAACUUUCUCAGUGCUGUUAAAAGCUGAGGCCUAGUCCCUUUGCCCAGCUGCUGAAAUCCUAGCUAAGCAAUAGGAGCCAUGUGACAGGCUAAGUGAGAAAUGGAGGAGUUUCUGCGACCAGGACGUCCUGACAUCAUGUCUUUGAGCUUGACUGAAAAAAAUGUCAAUGCUGAGAGACAUCAAGGCCAUCAAUAGCCCAUAACAAAAUUCUCAAGGCCUUGGAUAACUCUCAGGGGAUACACUCCUCCCAGAGAAAAAAGUAUGGCUGUAUGCCUCAUGACUAGUGGGACAUCACCACAGAUCCAGUGGUCAGAAUGGACCACUGAAUCUAUUUUCACUCCAAGGUGCUUUGAGUGUCAGAAUACAAGAAAAUCUUGUUGUUAUUUAGAAAUACUGUUGUUUAUUAAGAGGCUCACAUGCAGUUGGAAAAGUGGGCCAAGUCUAAAAUCUAGAACACACUGCCUGGUCAUGAGCCCAGCCCCAGGUGGGUCACCUGGGCUCUGCAUGUUUCUGGGCAGAGUUAACCAACUUUAGCAUAGAUGGCUAGGACCCACAACUGGCCAUAAUAUGAUACGGAUAACUGUAUAUUCCUGUUCCUGAUUUUAGCUUUUCCUUGAGUAAGUUUCUUGGUUCUAAACUAACCAGAGCAUGACAUUCAAUGGAAAUUCUCAAGAAUACAAUUCUGCUCAAGAUGAUCUCAUUUCAAAAUAUUAUCACCACUUGCAGAGAGUUGAUGGGUGGGAGAGAGUGGGGAGCUUGCUUUAUUAGAAACUAGACCUGACCCACCUUGAACUAUGACAAGUGAAGCCUGGCUGAGUGUCUGUCAAUUGGAGUCCAACCAAUCCCUGUGCUGCAGAGCCCCUAUCUGGCAGACACUGUCAGCCUCAUAGGACAUCUAAGAUGUGUCUCUUCCUACAACACAGAGGCCAGCUGCCUUACUUUCUGUCUUCUGUCUCAUAAAGCUAUUUUUGUUCUCAGCUGGUAGAACUCAGUGACUUUCAGUUUCCCUAAAAAUUCCACUCACACAAAAGAAUUUGUAAACUAGAUGGAUUUGCCUGAAGCUGUCCUGGAGGAGGGAAGAGGUUUUUAUCAUAUACCUUACACCAAAGAGCUUUGAAAGCUCUCCUGGAUAUUUCUGUUUUCCCAAGUUUUUGACUUCCUCUAACUUUAAAUUCACACCCUGCUGCCUCCACUCCACCCCAGCUACCCUUUCCCAGACCCCAGGCUCCUAUCUCUUCCUCGAUCCCAUCUUAUCUUAUACAUAACAGCUUAGCAGCCAUCUCUUUUUAGGUAAUUUGAACAUGUUCUUGGAGAGUUCAACCCCCAAAUCAAAAGAUGUCCUUUUAUCCCAUUAUAACCCCAAACUAUUUUGCUGAUGUUUUCUUCCAUUUCUGAGUCUUUGUGCUCACCAAUAUUCAGACCUAUGUUCUGAACAACAUCAUCUUUAUCUUUUCCCAGAAUCCUGCCCUUUGAGGCAAUCAAUAUCUCUGACAAUUGUUAAGGCUAUUUGGAGUGCAAUCUUGCACAAUAAUAAAAACAGCCACUAUGCAUUGAGCAUUCGCUGUGUGCUAGGCACUCUGCUAAUCACUUGUACUAUAUCAUGUUUUGUAAUCUGCAUAACAGCUGUAGGAAUGUAGCUAUUAUCACUCCACUCUGUAGCUGAAGGAGCUGGGGUCAUAUCGGUAAUAAGACACAGAGCCUACUGUGGCCUAAGCGUGCUGUUACUGGAAAGAUAAGAAUCAAAGGUACAUGCCCUUCUGUCCAGAAGAGUCCUCUCACCCCUAGGAGGCCAGGAAACAUCACUCCCUGCCCUGAUAUUCAGGGAACAGGAAAAAGGCAGGAAAGAGGCCUUUGCUCCUGGGUUCUAUGUAGUGAAGCAAAUUUCUUAUUUUUUGAGCCAGGUUGCUUUCUUUUUUAAUCAUAGACUAGGGGUACUGUGUGUUCCAUGAACAAUCAUCUUACUGACAUGUUAUUCUGAAGCUUGACUUCAUUCACCGUGACACAUGCUGGUUAUGAAAUACGCAACGGAAUAGAGUUGUAAUGAAGUGAGGCUGGGGAAGGAUUAAAUUAGAAUCUGAACUAAUGCCAGCUAAGAGACCCUACCUCCACUUUAUUAUUAUUAUUGUGUUUAAUAAACAAUCAUUCAUGCUCCGAGGAAAGGGAAACAAUCAGAAACCCAGCAGGGGAGCCAUAAAAUAAAUGUUUAAACCUUGAAUAAAAACAUGUUUGUUCAAACCCAGAGCCGGUCUCUUUUUAUUCAAAAUGAAUGCAGUGAGUUCUCCAACACCUAGAGGUGUUGAGAGGCAUGCAAGUGGAAUUUCAGUUGCAGGGAGGGCUCACCUUUCCCAUCCUCC